GGACAAUCUUGAUCUGUAUUCAGGUAAUUAUAUUCAAAAAAGAUUAGACCCUUUUUGUGUUUUCUUUGUUGUUUGGGGCUUAUCGAAAAUAAUCUCUCUUGCUUUAAACACUUUUCACACCCCAUUUGUGAGAUAUGUUGUUGUUGGUGUUUUUUGGGAAGUUUUGUGGUUUUGUUUAUGUAUUUUGAUUGAAAAGAUUGGAGCUUUUUGUGGUUUAGUUGGUGUUUUGAAAAGUGUUUUGAGGUUUUAUGUAUGUAUUUUGAUUGAAAAGAUUAGUU
This 278-nucleotide unclassified non-coding RNA is filed under the name Hevea brasiliensis (rubber tree). Lineage: Eukaryota; Viridiplantae; Streptophyta; Magnoliopsida; Malpighiales; Euphorbiaceae. The record is from RNAcentral.